AUUCUAUGCAUUCACAUGAGUUAGAAAUAUUGCAUUUUUCAUGACUCCGUUAUCAAAUUGGUAACAUAAUCACGUGCAGGGAUUGCUAACUAUGUUCAUAUAUGUUUGUGUUGUAACUCUUGAUCCUCAAACAUUGGAUUGUUUUAUCCCUUGGUAAAACAAUGGAGUUGUAACUUCUAAGUAUAAUAAGAGUCAAAAUGAACAGGAAGUAAUUCACCAUAACAAUUUAUGCUAUAAUAUCUUAUAUUCUUCUCCACCCCUGCAUUCAGCUGUAAUUACUAGCAUAGUUCUACAUUGAAUUAUUUUAUCUCAGUAUAGUCAGUGGUUCAGAAAGUCUCUUCUCUAUUGCUGAGUUGUCUCUCAGUUCAGAUUGCGGUAAACAUCCUUAUGUUGUUCCUUUAUGUCUCAUGUGUUGUGGUUUUAAAUGAUAAAAUUGUGCAAGGAGGCUCUAGCUUUAUCUUUGUUGAUUUCAUUUAAUUGUUUUUAAUAUAUGCUGAUUCUUCAAACUCUCGAGCGGGCAAUUGGUGUUGAGUCUGAAAUUGAUUCCUCACUUGAGACCUGCUGAAUAUAAGAGAACCGGUAAUGCAGCAGAAGUGUUAUGUUCUAUAUUGGGCAAAAGGCAGAAAUAUACAUAAAGAGAGAGAACAGGUAAGCAGCAAAAGUUUAGCAUUCUAGCAGACUAAGAAGGCCAAGCCACAGGAGGAAAAACAAAUGUCCAAGUGCCCUAGAGUACAUUGAAAUUAUUUGCUAUCCAGCUUCAAUAGUUAGAUUUCAUGGAACAAUUAAUGACUAUUGUAAAUGUAUUUUGGUGGCUGUAAUAACAGAAUAUAUGUAUUUUUAAUGAGUGAAAUGACUUUUGAGGUUUUCAGAAUGAAUGAGAACAUCAAUGAAUGGCAGGAACAAACUUAUAUGUGUC
Long non-coding RNA from Rosa chinensis, 916 nucleotides. RefSeq lists it as uncharacterized. The transcript is spliced from 2 exons. The record is from RefSeq and is a predicted model, not a curated record. Lineage: Eukaryota; Viridiplantae; Streptophyta; Magnoliopsida; Rosales; Rosaceae.